GCAGUGGUGGUUCAGUGGUAGAAUUCUCAUCUUCCACAUGGGACACAAAGGUUUAAUUCCCAGUCAAUGCA
This 71-nucleotide transfer RNA is filed under the name Loxodonta africana (African savanna elephant). It matches the Rfam family "tRNA". From Rfam's summary of the family: Transfer RNA (tRNA) molecules are approximately 80 nucleotides in length. Their secondary structure includes four short double-helical elements and three loops (D, anti-codon, and T loops). Further hydrogen bonds mediate the characteristic L-shaped molecular structure. tRNAs have two regions of fundamental functional importance: the anti-codon, which is responsible for specific mRNA codon recognition, and the 3' end, to which the tRNAs corresponding amino acid is attached (by aminoacyl-tRNA synthetases). tRNAs cope with the degeneracy of the genetic code in two manners: having more than one tRNA (with a specific anti-codon) for a particular amino acid; and 'wobble' base-pairing, i.e. permitting non-standard base-pairing at the 3rd anti-codon position. Lineage: Eukaryota; Metazoa; Chordata; Mammalia; Proboscidea; Elephantidae. The record is from Rfam by way of RNAcentral.